CCUCUUUCAGCAGGGAAGAAGCGCAAGUGACGGUACCUGCAGAAGAAGCGCCGGCUAACUACGUGCCAGCAGCCGCGGUAAUACGUAGGGCGCAAGCGUUGUCCGGAAUUAUUGGGCGUAAAGAGCUCGUAGGCGGCUUGUCGCGUCGGUUGUGAAAGCCCGGGGCUUAACCCCGGGUCUGCAGUCGAUACGGGCAGGCUAGAGUGUGGUAGGGGAGAUCGGAAUUCCUGGUGUAGCGGUGAAAUGCGCAGAUAUCAGGAGGAACACCGGUGGCGAAGGCGGAUCUCUGGGCCAUUACUGACGCUGAGGAGCGAAAGCGUGGGGAGCGAACAGGAUUAGAUACCCUGGUAGUCCACGCCGUAAACGUUGGGAACUAGGUGUUGGCGACAUUCCACGUCGUCGGUGCCGCAGCUAACGCAUUAAGUUCCCCGCCUGGGGAGUACGGCCGCAAGGCUAAAACUCAAAGGAAUUGACGGGGGCCCGCACAAGCAGCGGAGCAUGUGGCUUAAUUCGACGCAACGCGAAGAACCUUACCAAGGCUUGACAUACACCGGAAAGCAUCAGAGAUGGUGCCCCCCUUGUGGUCGGUGUACAG
RNAcentral lists this ribosomal RNA (595 nucleotides) under Streptomyces sp. Its description in RNAcentral is "bacterial SSU rRNA". It matches the Rfam family "Bacterial small subunit ribosomal RNA", at positions 430 to 1037 of the family's 1533-position model. The record is from RNAcentral. Lineage: Bacteria; Bacillati; Actinomycetota; Actinomycetes; Kitasatosporales; Streptomycetaceae.